UGCAACUCGACUCCAUGAAGUCGGAAUCGCUAGUAAUCGUGGAUCAGAAUGCCACGGUGAAUACGUUCCCGGGCCUUGUACACACCGCCCGUCACACCAUGGGAGUGGGUUGCAAAAGAAGUAGGUAGCUUAACCUUCGGGAGGGCGCUUACCACUUUGUGAUUCAUGACUGGGGUGAAGUCGUAACAAGGUAACCGUAGGGGAACCUGCGGUUGGAUCACCUCCUUACCUUAAAGAAGC
Molecule: ribosomal RNA, 240 nt
Filed under: Escherichia coli
Lineage: Bacteria; Pseudomonadati; Pseudomonadota; Gammaproteobacteria; Enterobacterales; Enterobacteriaceae
Also listed under: 1 other name
Description: partial 16S ribosomal RNA
Rfam family: Bacterial small subunit ribosomal RNA
Source: RNAcentral